UUGUUGCCAAUGAUGGUUUAUAAAUAUACUUUGAGUUUACACAAUGAAAAGAAUUUUAUCUGAGGCAACUU
Molecule: non-coding RNA, 71 nt
Organism: Helianthus annuus (common sunflower)
Lineage: Eukaryota; Viridiplantae; Streptophyta; Magnoliopsida; Asterales; Asteraceae
Source: Rfam